Molecule: non-coding RNA, 125 nt
Organism: Triticum aestivum (bread wheat)
Lineage: Eukaryota; Viridiplantae; Streptophyta; Magnoliopsida; Poales; Poaceae
Source: Rfam
UAACUACUCCCUCCGUCUGGAAUUACUUAUCGCGGAAAUGAAUAAAAAUGGAUGUAUCUAUCACUAAAAUACGUCGAGAUACAUUCAUUUCUCCGACAAGUAAUUCCGGGCGGAGGGAGUAUUUA